UGUUCGUUUUUAAACUACCGAACUAGACCGACCGCAAGCCCUGAUUCUCUGGAACUGUUUUGGGCAUGGGACCAUGUGGGCGGUUGGUCAAAAUGAAGACUUCCAGGAAAUUCCUGAACCCCUGAACUGAUAUGAGUGAAUUUUUGAUAUGUUGGUCACCCAGAUCAGGGCUAUCAGGGGAUGUAACUUUUGUGGGGUUUUUAUGUAUUUUUAGGGUACUUUUGGGGUGUUUGGUAAAAAGUGUUUUUUUUCUGUGCUUGGAGAUAAUUGGAUUAUAUUAGUACAGUUCUGUG
This is a non-coding RNA of Pelobates cultripes (western spadefoot toad), 293 nucleotides long. The record is from the annotation of a GenBank genome assembly. Lineage: Eukaryota; Metazoa; Chordata; Amphibia; Anura; Pelobatidae.